CCUACGGGGGGCUGCAGUGAGGAAUAUUGGUCAAUGGACGAGAGUCUGAACCAGCCAAGUAGCGUGAAGGAUGACUGCCCUAUGGGUUGUAAACUUCUUUUAUAUGGGAAUAAAACGUUCCACGUGUGGGAUUUUGUAUGUACCAUAUGAAUAAGGAUCGGCUAACUCCGUGCCAGCAGCCGCGGUAAUACGGAGGAUCCGAGCGUUAUCCGGAUUUAUUGGGUUUAAAGGGAGCGUAGGUGGCUUGUUAAGUCAGUUGUGAAAGUUUGCGGCUCACCCGUAAAAUUGCAGUUGAAACUGGCAGUCUUGAGUACAGUAGAGGUGGGCGGAAUUCGUGGUGUAGCGGUGAAAUGCUUAGAUAUCACGUAGAACUCCGAUUGCGAAGGCAGUUCACUGGACUGCAACUGACACUGAGGCUCGACAGUGUGGGUAUCAAACAGGAUUAGAUACCCGGGUAGUC
Molecule: ribosomal RNA, 460 nt
Filed under: uncultured bacterium
Lineage: Bacteria
Description: partial 16S ribosomal RNA
Rfam family: Bacterial small subunit ribosomal RNA
Source: RNAcentral